Molecule: ribosomal RNA, 253 nt
Filed under: uncultured bacterium
Lineage: Bacteria
Description: partial 16S ribosomal RNA
Rfam family: Bacterial small subunit ribosomal RNA
Source: RNAcentral
GACGAGGGGUCCUAGCGUUGUUCGGAAUUACUGGGCGUAAAGCGCAUGUAGGUGGCUUAAUAAGUCAGAUGUGAAAGCCUCGGGCUCAACCUGAGAAGUGCAUUUGAUACUGUUAAGCUUGAGUAUGGGAGAGGGUAGUAGAAUUCCUGGUGUAGUGGUGAAAUACGUAGAUAUCAGGAGGAAUACCGGUGGCGAAGGCGGCUACCUGGCCCAAUACUGACACUGAGAUGCGAAAGCGUGGGGAUCAAACAGG